Molecule: ribosomal RNA, 468 nt
Filed under: uncultured bacterium
Lineage: Bacteria
Description: partial 16S ribosomal RNA
Rfam family: Bacterial small subunit ribosomal RNA
Source: RNAcentral
GACGAACGCUGGCGGCGUGCUUAACACAUGCAAGUCGAACGGAAAGGCCCUGCUUUUGUGGGGUGCUCGAGUGGCGAACGGGUGAGUAACACGUGAGUAACCUGCCCUUGACUUUGGGAUAACUUCAGGAAACUGGGGCUAAUACCGGAUAGGAGCUCCUGCUGCAUGGUGGGGGUUGGAAAGUUUCGGCGGUUGGGGAUGGACUCGCGGCUUAUCAGCUUGUUGGUGGGGUAGUGGCUUACCAAGGCUUUGACGGGUAGCCGGCCUGAGAGGGUGACCGGCGACAUUGGGACUGAGAUACGGCCCAGACUCCUACGGGAGGCAGCAGUGGGGAAUAUUGCACAAUGGGCGGAAGCCUGAUGCAGCAACGCCGGGUGCGGGAUGACGGCCUUCGGGUUGUAAACCGCUUUCGCCUGUGACGAAGCGUGAGUGACGGUAAUGGGUAAAGAAGCACCGGCUAACUACGUG